Long non-coding RNA from Leopardus geoffroyi (Geoffroy's cat), 2236 nucleotides. RefSeq lists it as uncharacterized. The record is from RefSeq and is a predicted model, not a curated record. The transcript has 2 exons. NCBI's taxonomy places the organism in Eukaryota, Metazoa, Chordata, Mammalia, Carnivora, Felidae.
CUUCCCAUGCAUGUCUUUAAAGUCACUUUAAGGAAAAAGUGACUUUAAAAGUGUCUAUUCCUUAGGAUGUAUGUGUAUAUAUGUGUAUGAGACUUGUUUUAAGUACAUGAGAUGAUAAUGCCAAUACUUCUUAAAAGUCCUUCUCUGAUUGUUUUUGGUGGAUUUGAGAUAUAAGAUUGAUCAAUUUGUAACCUCAUAGGUUCUUCCUUUAGCCUUUUUAAUGUGGGUUUCUGUUCAUGGUGAAACACUUUAGGCUCUCAGUUUUUCCUUGAAAUUUUAAAAUAUCCCUGGUGAGUGACAUCUAUUUGAAUCAAUUUAUCUUCAACUUAUUUUUCAAAGCAAAUUGGAAAAGUAUCAAUAUUAGCCAAUAUUUUCUCUGGAACUGCAAUCUGCUUAUUUCAGGAAAGGAGCAGAAGAAAUAAAUUAGUAUUUAUUGAGCACUGUGAGUCAGAUGUGCUCUUGUAUGCAAAUUAGAUUUCAUUUUGGCAACAUUUAAGUCAUUGUGCGGGUAUUUUUCUCUCCAUGAGGCAUCUGACUCUGGGGAGCUUGUUGCUUUGCUCCAAAGUAGUGGAGCCUGAUUCAGAUCUCCAACUUGACCUUGGAGCCCAAGUUCUUUUCAUACCAUAGUGCUUCCAUACACUGUCCCCUUCAUAGUAUAUGAGUAAGGGAAUCAUGAAAACAUUGACCUCAAUAACAUUGGAAGAGUUACACAAGGCCACCAGCUACAUUCAGCACGAUCCUGCUAGUUCUCAUGAACUCUCAAGCAUUGAAGGAUGCCACCUUUUCAAUUAUGUAUAGAAUCUUUUUUGUUCAAUUUGAAGUAGUCCAUAAAAGGUUCUGCAAAUUUUUUUUUAUCAUUUGCUUCUUCCUCUACACCCCUUUCCCUCAUGCCUCAGUCUAUCCUGAAGCAGUAGGUACCUAAGAGAAAUAUUUAUCCUCUCAGCCACCAUUGACAUCCAGAACAAGGAGAACAAGAUACUUCUAAAACUGUCCAGAAUCUUGUGUGCUGUUUACAAAAACAAAAAAAAAAAUAAGUAUUAUUUCUAAGGAAUUUGUUAAUGCAGUUUCACAAUUCCCAGCAUGAAAAACUGCAGGAAUAAAAAAAAAAAUAAAAAGGGCAAGUUAAAUAAAAAACAUGAAAUUAAAAAAUAUAUAUAUAUAAGGUUUAGUCAGUUAAAAUAUUUUUCAAUAAGAAAUCAAAACAUACUUUUUUCUUCUCCCAUAAUUCUUGCUGGUGAAAUUUCAAAGCUAAAAGAAACUAGCUACUAAGGGUGUACUAAAUUACAGAUGAGUUUAUAAUCACUCAUAUUUGGAAUGGGAAGGAGUUUAAACAGGCAUUAGUCCAAUUAUUAAUCUUGGCAAGAAUGAUUAUAUUAUUUGUCCCAGGUCACAUGUAUUAUGUGUUAUAAACAUAGUUAAAUUUGAUGAUUAAAUAGUUAUACUUCCUACAGCUAAAAAACCAUUUAGUUAAAAAUGACACAAAAUACUGUCAUUCUCAUUUUUACUUUGCAUAAAGUUUUUAUUGAAGUAUGACAAAUAUAGAGAAAAAUGUGCAGAUCACAAUUGUGCAGCUCAAUUAAUUUUCAUAAGGCAUGCAUGCAAAGUCAGCAUCCCCAAAGACCCAUUCGUUAGUCCUCCCAGUGACCACUGUUCUGACUUCUAACAGGAAAAUUUAGUUUUUUAUUUCGAGGCUAUGGAGAAGAGUUUAAUUAAGGUCUAUUUAGUUAUCACCCAGACUUGUCAAAUAUUAAUAUUCUGCCCUAUUAAAAUGCCUUUGAAUAAUACUUUAAAAUUUAUCUUUUAUAUUAUAUAGUAAUUUUUUUGCUGUUUAGUUCUGAAAUUUGAUAAUUGUGUAGAACCUCAUCCAUAUCAAAAAUAUAGAACAUUUCCACCCCACCUCCCCCACCAAAAUUCCUUCAUGCCGUUCUCCCUUUGUAGACAACCAUCUUCUCUAGGCUUAACCCCUGACAAACCGAUUUAUUCUCCAUUCUUAAAUUUUUCCUUUUUUAGAAUGUUAUAUUAAUGAAAUUGCACAUUACGUAUUCUGUGGAAUCAGGCUUUUUCCACUUAGCAUAAUACAUCCAUGUUGCAGUAUGUAGCAAUAGUCCAUUUGGUUUUAUUGAUGAAUAGUAUUUCAUUGUAUAGAUGUACAGCAGUUCAUCCAUUUACCAUCUGUAGGACAUUUAAGUUGUUUCCAGAUUCUGGAGAUAAUGAAUAAAAUUGCUAUAAAUAUCCA